Molecule: ribosomal RNA, 253 nt
Filed under: uncultured bacterium
Lineage: Bacteria
Description: partial 16S ribosomal RNA
Rfam family: Bacterial small subunit ribosomal RNA
Source: RNAcentral
UACGAAGGGGGCUAGCGUUGUUCGGAAUCACUGGGCGUAAAGGGUGCGUAGGCGGGCAUUUAAGUCAGGGGUGAAAUCCCGAGGCUCAACCUCGGAACUGCCCUUGAUACUGGGUGUCUUGAGUCCGGAAGAGGUGAGUGGAACUGCGAGUGUAGAGGUGAAAUUCGUAGAUAUUCGCAAGAACACCAGUGGCGAAGGCGGCUCACUGGACGACUGAUGACGCUGAGGUGCGAAAGCGUGGGGAGCAAACAGG